Molecule: unclassified non-coding RNA, 520 nt
Filed under: uncultured Glomus
Lineage: Eukaryota; Fungi; Glomeromycota; Glomeromycetes; Glomerales; Glomeraceae
Description: SSU rRNA
Rfam family: Eukaryotic small subunit ribosomal RNA
Source: RNAcentral
AGCAGCCGCGGUAAUUCCAGCUCCAAUAGCGUAUAUUAAAGUUGUUGCAGUUAAAAAGCUCGUAGUUGAAUUUCGGGAUCAGUUGGUCGGUCGUGCCUCGGUACGUACUGGUCAAAUUGAUUCCUACCUUCUGACGAACCACGAUGUCAUUAAUUUGGUGUCGCGGGAAAUCAGGACUGUUACUUUGAAAAAUUAGAGUGUUUAAAGCAGGCUCGCGCUUGAAUACAUUAGCAUGGAAUAAUGAAAUAGGACGUUUGAUUCUAUUUUGUUGGUUUCUAGGAUCGACGUAAUGAUUAAUAGGGAUAGUUGGGGGGCAUUAGUAUUCAAUUGUCAGAGGUGAAAUUCUUGGAUUUAUUGAAGACUAACUACUGCGAAAGCAUUUGCCAAGGAUGUUUUCAUUAAUCAAGAACGAAAGUUAGGGGAUCGAAGACGAUCAGAUACCGUCGUAGUCUUAACCAUAAACUAUGCCGACUAGGGAUCGGAUGAUGUUAAUUUUUUAAUGACUCAUUCGGCGCCUUAC